Molecule: ribosomal RNA, 375 nt
Filed under: uncultured Alphaproteobacteria bacterium
Lineage: Bacteria; Pseudomonadati; Pseudomonadota; Alphaproteobacteria
Description: bacterial SSU rRNA
Rfam family: Bacterial small subunit ribosomal RNA
Source: RNAcentral
UAAUACGGAGGGGGUUAGCGUUGUUCGGAAUUACUGGGCGUAAAGCGCGCGUAGGCGGAUUGGAAAGUUGGGGGUGAAAUCCCGGGGCUCAACCCCGGAACUGCCUCCAAAACUGCCAGUCUAGAGUUCGAGAGAAGUGAGUGGAACUCCAAGUGUAGAGGUGAAAUUCGUAGAUAUUUGGAAGAACACCAGUGGCGAAGGCGGCUCACUGGCUCGAUACUGACGCUGAGGUGCGAAAGUGUGGGGAGCAAACAGGAUUAGAUACCCUGGUAGUCCACACCGUAAACGAUGAAUGCCAGUCGUCGGGUAGUAUACUAUUCGGUGACACACCUAACGGAUUAAGCAUUCCGCCUGGGGAGUACGGUCGCAAGAUUA